RNAcentral lists this non-coding RNA (23 nucleotides) under Cricetulus griseus (Chinese hamster). The record is from RNAcentral. Lineage: Eukaryota; Metazoa; Chordata; Mammalia; Rodentia; Cricetidae.
UAGGUGAUAGUUCUGUAGGGUUC